Coccinella septempunctata (seven-spotted ladybird) is the source of this 105-nucleotide small nuclear RNA. The record is from RefSeq and is a predicted model, not a curated record. NCBI's taxonomy places the organism in Eukaryota, Metazoa, Arthropoda, Insecta, Coleoptera, Coccinellidae.
UAAAUGUUCGAAAAUGAAGUUAGUAUGUAAAUUCAGAAACAGAGAAGAUUAGCAUGGCCCCUGCGCAAGGAUUACACGCAAAAUCGUGAAGCGUUCCACAUUUUU